CAUCAAACCACAAGCUUCCCAGCUACUGGCACUGUUCUGAGAAGAGGGUGAAACUUCAGGUGGAGUCAAGUGGAUGGAAGCCUGGCUUUGAAGGUUGAGAGGACGCUCCUGCAUCGGUCCGCCUUCCAGCACUUCGCCGACCUUCUCUUUUCACGACUUCAUGGAAAGAAAUGCUUCUUGCCACUCCUGCUGACUCGUGCCAAUUUGGUGGAGCCUUGAGGUUUCUUCUGGAUUGAGCCGCUGCUCCUGAUUUGUGCUUGGUGCUUUGGACCAGACUGCUGAUAUCCUGACAAUGGAGACUGGAAUUGCCCCCAAAGAACUAUCUCUAAACAGGCCCACAUCCCCCAUUUCCUAUCAUCCUUUCUUUUCCCCCUACCACUGGUUGGUGUGCUAGCAGGGAGGUUGAAGUGUUUAAGAAGGCUUAUUAAAAAUACAUUUUAAAAGUU
This 446-nucleotide long non-coding RNA is filed under the name Rattus norvegicus (Norway rat). Its description in RNAcentral is "long non-coding RNA NONRATT021808". Lineage: Eukaryota; Metazoa; Chordata; Mammalia; Rodentia; Muridae. The record is from RNAcentral.